UGUGUUUUCUCUUAAGGACUCUUUCAAGUCAAAUCAAUUUGAUUAUUCACUUUAAUAUGAUGGUUGAUUAACAAUCAAUGAUUUGGCAACACUAAUUCUAAUUCAGGUCCUAAAAGGAAAGCAUCAUUAGAAGUGGUGCACAAACAUGGCCCAUGCUCCCAACUAAAUCAUAGUGGCAAAGCAGAGGCUACAAUAUCACACAAUGAUAUUAUGAACCUAGACAAUGAAAGGGUAAAGUAUAUUCAGUCCAGGCUCUCUAAGAAUUUGGGUGGAGAAAAUAGAGUGAAGGAAUUGGAUUCAACUACCCUACCCGCCAAGUCUGGUAGACUUAUUGGGUCUGCAGACUAUUAUGUUGUUGUUGGUCUUGGUACACCCAAGAGGGACUUGUCACUCAUUUUUGACACAGGUAGUUAUCUUACAUGGACUCAGUGUGAACCCUGUGCUGGUUCUUGCUACAAGCAGCAAGAUCCAAUCUUUGAUCCAUCAAAGUCUUCAUCGUAUACCAAUAUCAAAUGCACAUCUUCGCUCUGCACUCAAUUCCGUUCUGCGGGUAAAUCUUUACUUUUGAAUACAGAAAAUAUUUAAAUUAUUGGGAUUACUAUAAGUGCCUGAGUAAUCCUAAUAAUUAUAUAUAUAGUCUGCUACCAUCAAAUGUUUAGAUAGAAAACAACCAUAAUUUUACAAUAUCACAAAUCCAUCAAAUAUAGAUCUAAGUAUUUAGACGGUUGCUUACUUGAUGAAAAAUAAAAAAUAAAAUAAAAAGUAAAAAUCAGGAAACUGGUGUUAAAAAUAAAGAUGCGAUGCAACUUUCUUUUUUUCUUUUCUGAUCUCUCGCUCACACAUGCACACGGAUUAAUACAGAGUGGUCCUAGACCAAUACUUGUUCAUGUUCUAGCAAAUGUUUAUCUAAUACACUAUGUAAACAAAUUAUGUAUAUAUAUAGAAGGGUUGCAAUAUUUGAUUAUAUUAUUAUUUAAUUAAUUUUUUUUCCAUGCAGGAUGCUCCUCAUCCACAGAUGCAUCAUGCAUAUAUGACGUCAAAUACGGUGACAAUUCCAUCUCCCGCGGCUUCUUGAGUCAGGAGCGCCUUACCAUCACCGCCACCGACAUCGUCCACGACUUCCUCUUUGGCUGUGGCCAAGACAACGAGGGCCUCUUCAGGGGCACCGCCGGCCUCAUGGGCCUCAGCCGCCACCCCAUUUCCUUUGUCCAACAAACCUCCUCAAUUUACAACAAAAUUUUCUCCUACUGUCUCCCCUCCACCCCCAGCUCCCUUGGCCACCUCACCUUCGGCGCUUCCGCCGCCACCAAUGCUAACCUCAAAUACACUCCCUUUUCCACAAUCUCCGGCGAAAACUCCUUCUACGGUCUCGACAUCGUCGGCAUCUCCGUUGGCGGCACCAAACUCCCUGCUGUCUCCUCCUCCACCUUCUCCGCCGGUGGCUCCAUCAUCGACUCCGGCACCGUGAUCACGCGGUUGCCUCCGACCGCGUACGCCGCGCUCCGGUCGGCAUUUCGGCAGUUUAUGAUGAAGUACCCCGUUGCCUAUGGGACCCGCCUACUUGACACGUGUUAUGAUUUCAGUGGGUAUAAGGAGAUUUCAGUUCCGAGGAUAGAUUUUGAAUUUGCCGGUGGCGUCAAGGUGGAGUUGCCAUUGGUGGGGAUACUCUAUGGGGAAAGUGCGCAACAACUGUGUUUGGCUUUUGCUGCAAAUGGGAAUGGCAAUGAUAUUACGAUAUUUGGGAAUGUGCAACAAAAGACACUAGAGGUCGUGUAUGAUGUUGAGGGUGGGAGGAUAGGGUUUGGUGCUGCUGGGUGCAACUGAAGUUAGUUUGAUUAAUAGUGGUGUUAAUUAAACAUGCUUUGGGCUUGUUAGGGAGGAAGAAAUCUUAAUUGGCUCUGGCAUUUUUAAUUACUAUUGUUGUUGUUACUGGAAAGUACUCUAAAACAUAUGAAAAAAUAAAUAAAGGAAAUGAUGUGGGAAAUAUGAUGUAACAUGUAGAAUGGAGGGGGUGUUAUAUUAUACAUAUGACUCCCAACCAUUGGGGUUGCUUGCAAUUGCACAUACAUGGCUAAUAUGGUUUUAUAAUAGUUAACUUAGCUAAACAUAUUAAAUUUAUUAAUAAUUUAUACUUUGUUGAACUCAUAAGCAAAAAAAAAACUAAUUUUACACUAAUAAAAUUAGUUGAAAUAAUUUAAUUUUAUUAAUUUAAAGUAAAAUAGUAAGAUUAUCUCUACAAAAAUUUUAUUAGAACUUGAUAUCACGAAUAAAUAAAAUACAUAAAAAUAGAAUUCAAUUAAAUAUAUUUUUUUAAAAAAUAAUAUUAUUAAAUAAGGAUAAAUAAUUAGAUUUGUUUAUAUUUAAAUUCAAGCCCUUAAAAAAAUUAAAAUUAUCAAAGAAUGGAAUAUGUCACAAAAUAAACAUAAAAGCGUCGUACGAAGAUUUUGUGACUAGCAAAUGCUCUCACAAAUUUUGGCGUCCUAUAAGCACUUAAGUGAGGGACUUUUUGUCCCGUCACAUACAAUGACAGAAUCUAUUGUGAUUCAUCUACCUCAACCCCCACUAGACCAAUCUUGUGUGUAGAAUGUGAGAAUAAAUAAUCAUUUUUCUAUGUAAAUUUGUAAAUAACAAUAAUACAUUAAAAUCAAAUAUAACGAAUAAACAAGCUAAAUAAUUAUGAGUUUAAUUUGCUUGAUAUCUCAUAAUAUCCAGUAGUGAAUAUAUUAACAACAUUCAAAGUUUUGUUUAACAUCCAAAGUCUUAAAAUACCUAUUUUAUAAAUAUCUAUUUAAAGUCUUAUAAUUUGUAACAUAAGUAGAAUAUAUAAUUAAUUUUCAAACACCCAUAUUAUCAUCUAAUUCAUCAUCUUGUUGAUCACGUGUAGGAAGUUAUGGACCACAUUGAAUUGGUUGAGAUCUUUGACCAACUGAAACAUUCUCCAUAAAUUAAGUCAUUUUUGCUCACAAAACAAAUGGCCCUCUUGUGAUUCAACAAACAUGUCUUUCAAGUUCUUAUCUUUUUCAAUCAAAUCGAAAACUUUAGUUCAUUUUCUCAUAUUCAUGCGAUGAGAAACCAUAAGAUGAUAUGGAUGAGAAAGAAAGCUUGUAUUUCCUUGCCUCUAAACCUAGACCAAAUAUCAAUUGUUAGAUCCCUUAAGAUAUAAAACCUUUUUUCUUAUAUAUGAGUUUAGAUGAAUUAUUACUCUUUCAAAAUUAUCCUUCAUUUUUUUCUACUUAAUUAUUUCUUACCUAAUUAGUCGUAGUCGACCUCUACUAAAAAAUAGUCUCAAUUAAUGUUAGUAAAAUAAUUACCUUUUCGACCUUGACUAGAGUUUUUUUCCCAAGGCAUGCUUUAAAAUUUAAAAAUCCAAUGAAAUUUAAUAACAUAUUUUGGAUAUAGUUAGUUACGGAAUGAUUCUAUAUAAUCUAAUUAUAUAACCUGAUUUCUUUGAAAACUCCUAAUAAAAACCAAUUAUUGUUUCCUUUCAAAUGUGUGAUUUGAUAAAGGAACUCUAUUCUUUGACUCACUUCCUAAUUUACUUAGAAGAGUUUCUUAAAAGUAUUAAUGAAUGAGGUUCCUAAUAUAUUUCAAAGAGGUUUUUAAAAGUUUUAUUGGAUGAGGUUUCAAUGCUACAUUACUCUAACAUUGUUGUUUAAGAUAAAUAAAAAGGAAUAAAUUAUAUUUUUAAUUGCACUUUUUAUCUUUAUUUUUUAAAAAAAUUUGAUGAUUUUUUUCUUAAAAUUAAUUUGUCAUAUUUUAGACAUAAUUUUUAAAAAAUUUGUGAAUUUCAUCAUUUGUCAUUCAUUUAUUAAUAAGCAAAAGUUAUGACUAUAGUUUACCAAAAACAAAAGUUUAGGACAGAAUUUGUUAAAAAAUAAAAAAUGUUGCGUAAAAAAACUUUCAAAAAUCAAAAAGUUAGAGAUAAACAAUGUAAUUAUUUCAAAAGGAAAAUGACGGAAGAUAAACAAUGUAAUAAUUUGAGAUAAAUUAUCUUAAAUUAAUUUUUUGAGGUGAAAUUUGUCAAAAAUUAUAGAAGUUAAGAGUAGAAAAUGCAAUUAGACCUAAAAAUUAUAGAGAUUAAAAAAAAUUAAAUCACCAUAGUUAAAAUUAUAUUUAAACCAAAAAUUAAUAAAUAGAAAAUAAUGUGAUUGAAGAAAGUACUACUCCGAUGACGUUACACCACCAACAUGGCAAAACCUCCAUUCAAAAGCCCUAGGUAUUCCCCGAUAUACUUUUGAGGAUCAAAGGGUCAACUGACUUUGUACAAACAAAAGUCAAGUCACGUUAGUCGAUCGGAUUGGUUGCGUAUAUUGCGGUGGAAACUUUGAUCUUAUCUCCACUUUUUAUUUUUUUUUAAUUUUACACUAGGAUAUAUUUAAAGGAUUUCAUACAACUGUUAUAUUUUUUUUUAGUAAGAACUAUGUAUACUGAUUAUUAAUAAUAAUAUUUGUUUUUAAAUUAAAUAUAUGCAUAUGAUUAUUAUUUUAAUAUUAAUCGACGAGUUAACAGGUUAGAUUUCCAGACCAAUUAGUUUAAAAAUUAAAAUCCAUGAUCCAACAUGUGUAUGAAAAGGUUAAAAUAGAUUGUUCAAUGUGUUUGAGUCCAUUUGGAUCCAUUUGAGUUAGAGAGUGACACAUGUUUUUGAACAAUUCUAAAUAUGCCCGUGUUACAUAUAAAAGAUUAUAGUUGUAGAUGAGAUAUGUGUAUAAUAUAAAUAAGUCAUAAUUACAUAGUAAUUUUCACUUUGGACCAACAUUUGCUAAUUAGAGUUAAGAUGAAUAAGUUUAUUUACUUUUUAAAAUAAAGUUCUUAUUAUUUCUUUUUAUGACUUAAGUUUAAGACAUUAUUUUUAAAAAAGUAAAUUAUGUCAAUAAACAAAUAUUGACAACUUAAAGUUAAAAUAUAUUUUAUAUACAUUGAAAAAAAUAUAUUUUUAUGUAAAAAUGCAUACAUAUAUUUGUGUACAUACUUGCAUUUGUUUGUAUAAAGUUUGAGGAAACUCAAUAAUUAUAGUUCAAUUGAUAAUAUAAGUUAAUUUUGUAAAAAAGAUUUAGGUUCAAUUUUCAUAUAAUAGAUCACCUUUGAGAAGAAGUAAUAGAUUUUUGGUGUGACUAAUUCUCAUCGAUAAUUAAUCUCAUUAUCCCUAAAUGCCAUAAUUAUUGUUAUAACAAUGCUAAGCAAUAUUAGUGUUGAGAUUGACCAAGAAUAACAAGCUUAAUUAAUAUUAAUGAAGUAGUGUAUUUUGGUAUACAUAUUUAUCAAGUGACGUUAAAGAAUUAAUAAUCUAUAUAUUUGGACACGAUCAAUGAAUUAGCCUAUAAAGACCAAGUAUUCCGACGGAGUUGUCGUAUAACCAGGCUUAUGUAUAUAUUAGCUAUUAAUCUUCAGUUGACAUGCACAUCCAAAUGUCUUCUUUCCUCUUAGCUUCAAUUCGCUUGCACUUUUGUUUUUCAUCUCCUCCUUGGAGAAGAGCUUUGCCUUUCAAGCAACAAAGGAAAGCAACAAUCUUCGUCAUAUCAUUUUGUUCACCUCAACUCUCUAUUUCCAUCAUCUUCUUGCAGCUCUUCUGCCAAAGGUCAAUCCAAUCUUCAAUUCCUUGUUUUUUUAUUAUGUUUUUCAAUAAUAGCUAGAGUUUCUCUUUGAUAAUUUAAGUUAACAAUCAAGUAAAUCUUUUUAUAUGAAGUAUUGAAGAGAGACUCUUAUUCUAAUUGAAGAGGAAUGUUAAUAUACUCUCUCUACCACUCUUUCUAGUGAGACUUUCUUUAAAAGUUAGAAGAGAAAAUUAUUAAAUAAAACAUAAAACAUUCAAAAAUUAAUAAUUUUUAAUAAAUUUCAGCUAAAAAUUAACAAGGAAUUUUUAUCUAGCUAAAAAUUGCAUACCAAACCUAGAUAUAAUUGAUGUGUACCCGAUAAAAUGUAGAAUUAUAUUUAUUGAUUGAAAAAAAUUAAUAAAUGAUAUCAUAACAAAUGCAUAUAAAUAUGUAAUAAAUUACACAAUCAUUAAAAUCUGGUUUCCUUUUAACUUUUAGCUAUUAGCUGUGUACGUGUUUUCUCUUAAGGACUCUUUCAAGUCACAUCCUUAUGUUAAAUCAAUUUUGAUUAUUCACUUUAAUAUGAUGGUUGAUUAACAAUCAAUGAUUUGGCAACACUAAUUCUAAUUCAGGUCCUAAAAGGAAAGCAUCAUUAGAAGUGGUACAUACACAAACAUGGUCCAUGCUCCCAACUAAAACAUAGAGGCAAAGCAGAGGCUACAAUAUCACACAAUGAUAUUAUGAACCUAGACAAUGAAAGGGUAAAGUAUAUUCAGUCCAGGCUCU
RNAcentral lists this long non-coding RNA (6317 nucleotides) under Glycine max (soybean). RNAcentral describes it as "long non-coding RNA (GMAX_LNC001861)". The record is from RNAcentral. Lineage: Eukaryota; Viridiplantae; Streptophyta; Magnoliopsida; Fabales; Fabaceae.